Molecule: long non-coding RNA, 2885 nt
Filed under: Cyanistes caeruleus (blue tit)
Lineage: Eukaryota; Metazoa; Chordata; Aves; Passeriformes; Paridae
Description: lncRNA (ENSCCEG00000004369.1)
Source: RNAcentral
CUCUGGGUUCUCUCUGUCAAAUCCAUUCUAGCAGGGAAAGGCUGGGCAUUUCUAGGCUCUCCUCAAAGCCUUCCCUGGGGGAGCAGGAUUUAGCCCCCCCUCUUCCCCCAGGAAAACUUGGGGAUGUUUUUGAUGGUGGAAAUGGAGCUGGGCUCUCAGCCUGGGGAUUUUGAAGGGCACAGCUUUGAGCGUGGGUUAGAUGAGAUGUUGUUUAGGGGCUCCUUCUGACCUGAAUUAUUCUGUGAUUGCAGGCAUCUGCUCAUCCAAUAAAUUUUCCCCCCUCAGUUUUCCUGAAGCCCCUGGACCCAGAGGUGAUUGCAGCAGGCAAAGCAGCAAAAAAACCCAAAAGGACAAACCAGCUGCAGAGGUUGGUUUCAGGUAGAGCUCUCACAGGUCUUGGGGCACCGAUGCUUCCCACUGCACUUCCAGCAGACUUCUGCAGAGGGAAAGGAUUUGUUAUCGUGGCUUAAAUCCCAUCCUGAGGAGCUGAAUGUGCAAUCCUUUAAGCACAGGGAUGUCUCUGGAGUGCUGCCUAUUCCCACAGCUCGCUGUGCAGCAGAAGGAAUGUCUAGAGGAUCCAGCAGCGCUUGCAGCUGGGAAUUUUGUUAUUCCCAGCUGCAAACCUUGGAGUCUGCAUUUGGUGUCCGUGCUGCUGCUGAAGACCCAAAGGAGGUCCCGUCCAGAAGGGUUGUCUGGUCUUUACCCAGCAGUGAUGGAUGGCAGCGUUUAAGGGAUCAUUUCAUGGCACAGGCUCAGCCUGACCCUUUUCUGUGCCCGUGGCUGGUGCUGAGAAAGGCUGUAAUGACUGUUUGGGCUGAGGAGAGCAGUGUCUCUGUGUAUUCAUUUAACUGCUCAAUUUGAAAGAGAACAUGGAAAGCUGCAUUUAAUUAGAGAAGCCUUUUAUUAACUUGGCUUCAGAUGAACUUAGAUGAGACGGUGCUCCACAGAAAUUCAUUCCAUGUAUUAACCCACGAGCAUUUGCACUGAAGGCAGACAGCUCAGAUCUUGCAGUGGGAAUUUUCGAGGCACCACAGAACAGGUUUCAUGUCUCUGUGUUUCACCUGAGCAGUCAAAUCAGCACUUGCUAAUUCUGGAUGGAAAUGGAAGAAAACAGUCAUAAAUAGGUUUUCUAGAACUAAACCUUAUAUUUUUUCUGUUGCCUUAUGAAGUCUGUCACGGCAGCUGUCACUGACAGCUGAUUUCAGUGGAGUCAUUCUGGUGACUUUGGUAAUAAUUUCCACUAACCUGAGGAACUCCACCUCCUAUUUUAUUGUAAUUUUGUCCUAUAAUGCGUAUUUUGUUUAAUAUGGAACUAUUUGGUGAGUAAGCCAGAACUGCACAUUUUGGAGUAAUUUAGAUGUGACACUUGUGAUUAACAAAGCAGAGCAUGAAGACAUUUGCAAUGCAAAUUUGAUACGUAUUUAUGUGGAAGUAAUGGAUUUAAAUGAUGAUGUAUUCAGUCUAAUGCAACUUUAUGCAGAUGUAAGUGCUUAAGAAGUAAUUAAGUACAGUUUUCUAUAACAUUAAUUAGAGGAUCCUGAAUGCUCCCACUAUCAGUGGGCUCAUCUAGGAAUCAAAUUGGAACGGGGUGUGUCAUUUGCACUGGUAACUUUAUUUUGAAAGAGUAGGAAGAUAAAGGUGUUUUAUUUGAGCAUUUAACAUCACUUUCAAAGAAAACCUGAGCAUUUAAUGUCUGACAUUAGCACCUGAUGACUACAUAUUGCCCCAUUUCUCUCUUUUACCAGCAGAUCAAAAGAGGAGUUCAGACAAAAUCUCUUGAGUGGCUGCACAUGGCAAUUUCUGGGGAUGUGGUGGAGCAUUGGAGGCUCUCAGGAAUGCGUUUAAGGCUCUGUUAACAUUAUUUAACAUUAACAUUUCUGAGUUUGGUGCAGGAACAGCUCUCUCUAAUCUGCGGGAGGGGUAACGUGGGGGUGCCUCCUCCUGCUGAGCAGGACUGACAUUCCCACGCUGUGGAUUCUGGCAGGGAAACGCCCAGUUAGAGGAUUAGCAGAUGUUUUAUCUCUGAGUGCAAGGAAGGCGUUGGGCACUGAAUGGGUGCAUUUGUGCCUGCUAAAAAAACCCCAAAACAACAGUUUUUGCUUUACCCGGUUCAGAUGCUCUGAACUGAUGUGGGAGCUGCAGCCUGGGAGAAGGAAAAGGAAGCUGUAAGACUUCCCUGCAGCUGAACUUUGAAAUGGAACUGCUGCUGUGGAUGAGUUUUGUGAGGGUAACAGAAAAGUCUGGCUGGAGGAGCUGGGACACAUCCCUGUGCCCAAAGCUGCACCUGCUCCGGAAAAUCUCAGCUCCUGCUGGCUUCUCUCCAGUAACCCCAAGUGCCCAAGGGGAUUCCUGCAGCUGAUUUGGAUGGCUGAACUGUCCUUCCACGAGACAGGUGAGGAUGCUCAGGAACAAGAGUAGUACAGCAAAGAUUUAGGGAAAGAGCCGCCUCUGUGCCCCGGGAGAGCCCUGGAGGCAGAACUCGGUCACAGUGCUGGAGGAAGUGGUCUGGGAAUCAUCACAGCCUGGGAAUCACUCUUUGGCAAGGACAGAAACUCUCCUUGGCUCCACUCUGGACUGUGGCUGGAAUUUGCUGGGGAGUGGGCCAGGGGUGGCUAAAACAUUGUCAGGCUGUGAGUGCUGCAGCUCUGCUCUCCUGGAGGAGGCCGGGGGAAGCUGCCCUGGUGCCCCAGGCAGAACUGGCAGAGCCUCCCCAGACUGCUUUGAGGGAGCUGAUUAAAUACCCUGGUUCCACCUCUGCUGUGAUACCCUGCUGCUUUUAUUUGUUUUAGUCUUUGGUGACUGCAGGACAAAGUGGAAACAAAUGUGCCUAGCUGAGACCUGGCUGUGUAUUCGAAAUAAACGCGUGGCCUUGCUGGGAAAAUCCA